This 210-nucleotide unclassified non-coding RNA is filed under the name Hevea brasiliensis (rubber tree). The record is from RNAcentral. Lineage: Eukaryota; Viridiplantae; Streptophyta; Magnoliopsida; Malpighiales; Euphorbiaceae.
AGUGUUUCGCCCGGAUCGUUGCCGGGCUUCCUGCGCCAGCACUACACCACGAGCACCGACAUGGCCGCGGCCAUGAGUGCUUAUGUGCUCUCCAACGGCGCAGCAAAUGCAGCGCCCGGCGGGGGCAAUCUGACCAGACAGGGUCAGGAGGCGAAAACCGGCCCGAAACCGGCCCAGGAGCCGGGUCCCGAGCAGGCCGCCAAGGGCCGC